AACCAUAGAAACCUGCGGAGUACCUGCGGAAGGAUCAUAACUGGUUAAACUUUAUAAACACCAGAGUUUCAAACUCUGUGUUUGCAAACAAAAAACACCCUUCAAAACAGCUAUUCAGUGUCUGAAUUAACUAGUUUAAUAUAAAAACAACUUUUAGCAAUGGAUCU
This 167-nucleotide unclassified non-coding RNA is filed under the name soil metagenome. RNAcentral's name for it is "partial contains 5.8S ribosomal RNA, internal transcribed spacer 2, and large subunit ribosomal RNA". The record is from RNAcentral.